CGCUGGCGGCACGCCUAACACAUGCAAGUCGAACGAAGUAGCAAUACUUAGUGGCAGACGGGUGAGUAACAUGUAGGUAUCUACCCUUUGGCCUGGAAUAACACGAGGAAACUUGUGCUAAUACCGGAUAAGUCUUUACGGAGAAAGCUUUAUGCACCAUUGGAUGAGCCUGCACUUGAUUAGUUUGUUGGUGGGGUAAUGGCCUACCAAGACUUUGAUCAAUAGCUGAUUUGAGAGGAUGAUCAGCCACAUUGGGACUGAGACACGGCCCAAACUCCUACGGGAGGCAGCAGUGGGGAAUCUUGCACAAUGGAGGAAACUCUGAUGCAGCGAUGCCGCGUGAGUGAAGAAGGCCCUUGGGUUGUAAAGCUCUUUCGUCGGGGAAGAAAAUGACUGUACCCGAAUAAGAAGGUCCGGCUAACUUCGUGCCAGCAGCCGCGGUAAUACGAAGGGACCUAGCGUAGUUCGGAAUUACUGGGCUUAAAGAGUUCGUAGGUGGUUGAAAAAGUUGGUGGUGAAAUCCCAGAGCUUAACUCUGGAACUGCCAUCAAAACUUUUCAGCUAGAGUAUGAUAGAGGAAAGCAGAAUUUCUAGUGUAGAGGUGAAAUUCGUAGAUAUUAGAAAGAAUACCAAUUGCGAAGGCAGCUUUCUGGAUCAUUACUGACACUGAGGAACGAAAGCAUGGGUAGCGAAGAGGAUUAGAUACCCUCGUAGUCCAUGCCGUAAACGAUGUGUGUUAGACGUUGGAAAUUUAUUUUCAGUGUCGCAGCAAAAGCGAUAAACACACCGCCUGGGGAGUACGACCGC
This 807-nucleotide ribosomal RNA is filed under the name uncultured Pelagibacteraceae bacterium. RNAcentral describes it as "bacterial SSU rRNA". It matches the Rfam family "Bacterial small subunit ribosomal RNA", at positions 34 to 889 of the family's 1533-position model. Lineage: Bacteria; Pseudomonadati; Pseudomonadota; Alphaproteobacteria; Candidatus Pelagibacterales; Candidatus Pelagibacteraceae. The record is from RNAcentral.